GUGAGGAAUAUUGGUCAAUGGGCGAGAGCCUGAACCAGCCAAGUCGCGUGAAGGAAGACGGCCCUACGGGUUGUAAACUUCUUUUGCAAUGGAAUAAAAAGAGUUACGUGUAAUUCAUUGUAUGUACAUUGCGAAUAAGGAUCGGCUAACUCCGUGCCAGCAGCCGCGGUAAUACGGAGGAUCCGAGCGUUGUCCGGAUUUAUUGGGUUUAAAGGGUGCGUAGGCGGAUUGGAAAGUCAGCGGUGAAAGUUUGCAGCUUAACUGUAAAAUUGCCAUUGAAACUGUCAGUCUUGAGUGCAAAUGAGGUAGGCGGAAUGUGUUGUGUAGCGGUGAAAUGCAUAGAUAUAACACAGAGCACCAAUUGCGAAGGCAGCUUACUGGGAUGCAACUGACGCUGAGGCACGAAAGCGUGGGGAUCAAACAGGAUUAGAAACCCUAGUAGUCC
Molecule: ribosomal RNA, 445 nt
Filed under: uncultured bacterium
Lineage: Bacteria
Description: partial 16S ribosomal RNA
Rfam family: Bacterial small subunit ribosomal RNA
Source: RNAcentral